Molecule: ribosomal RNA, 113 nt
Filed under: Microcebus murinus (gray mouse lemur)
Lineage: Eukaryota; Metazoa; Chordata; Mammalia; Primates; Cheirogaleidae
Source: RNAcentral
GUCCACAGCCAUUCCAUCCUGAACACACCGGAUCUUGUCUGAUCCCAGAAACUAAGCAGGGUUGGGCCUGGUUAGUACUUGGAAGGGGGAAGGAGUCGGGGCCUCUCUGGGGU